RNAcentral lists this ribosomal RNA (1540 nucleotides) under Salmonella enterica subsp. enterica serovar Enteritidis. RNAcentral's name for it is "bacterial SSU rRNA". It matches the Rfam family "Bacterial small subunit ribosomal RNA". Lineage: Bacteria; Pseudomonadati; Pseudomonadota; Gammaproteobacteria; Enterobacterales; Enterobacteriaceae. The record is from RNAcentral.
GAUCAUGGCUCAGAUUGAACGCUGGCGGCAGGCCUAACACAUGCAAGUCGAACGGUAACAGGAAGCAGCUUGCUGCUUUGCUGACGAGUGGCGGACGGGUGAGUAAUGUCUGGGAAACUGCCUGAUGGAGGGGGAUAACUACUGGAAACGGUGGCUAAUACCGCAUAACGUCGCAAGACCAAAGAGGGGGACCUUCGGGCCUCUUGCCAUCAGAUGUGCCCAGAUGGGAUUAGCUUGUUGGUGAGGUAACGGCUCACCAAGGCGACGAUCCCUAGCUGGUCUGAGAGGAUGACCAGCCACACUGGAACUGAGACACGGUCCAGACUCCUACGGGAGGCAGCAGUGGGGAAUAUUGCACAAUGGGCGCAAGCCUGAUGCAGCCAUGCCGCGUGUAUGAAGAAGGCCUUCGGGUUGUAAAGUACUUUCAGCGGGGAGGAAGGUGUUGUGGUUAAUAACCGCAGCAAUUGACGUUACCCGCAGAAGAAGCACCGGCUAACUCCGUGCCAGCAGCCGCGGUAAUACGGAGGGUGCAAGCGUUAAUCGGAAUUACUGGGCGUAAAGCGCACGCAGGCGGUCUGUCAAGUCGGAUGUGAAAUCCCCGGGCUCAACCUGGGAACUGCAUUCGAAACUGGCAGGCUUGAGUCUUGUAGAGGGGGGUAGAAUUCCAGGUGUAGCGGUGAAAUGCGUAGAGAUCUGGAGGAAUACCGGUGGCGAAGGCGGCCCCCUGGACAAAGACUGACGCUCAGGUGCGAAAGCGUGGGGAGCAAACAGGAUUAGAUACCCUGGUAGUCCACGCCGUAAACGAUGUCUACUUGGAGGUUGUGCCCUUGAGGCGUGGCUUCCGGAGCUAACGCGUUAAGUAGACCGCCUGGGGAGUACGGCCGCAAGGUUAAAACUCAAAUGAAUUGACGGGGGCCCGCACAAGCGGUGGAGCAUGUGGUUUAAUUCGAUGCAACGCGAAGAACCUUACCUGGUCUUGACAUCCACAGAAGAAUCCAGAGAUGGAUUUGUGCCUUCGGGAACUGUGAGACAGGUGCUGCAUGGCUGUCGUCAGCUCGUGUUGUGAAAUGUUGGGUUAAGUCCCGCAACGAGCGCAACCCUUAUCCUUUGUUGCCAGCGGUUAGGCCGGGAACUCAAAGGAGACUGCCAGUGAUAAACUGGAGGAAGGUGGGGAUGACGUCAAGUCAUCAUGGCCCUUACGACCAGGGCUACACACGUGCUACAAUGGCGCAUACAAAGAGAAGCGACCUCGCGAGAGCAAGCGGACCUCAUAAAGUGCGUCGUAGUCCGGAUUGGAGUCUGCAACUCGACUCCAUGAAGUCGGAAUCGCUAGUAAUCGUGGAUCAGAAUGCCACGGUGAAUACGUUCCCGGGCCUUGUACACACCGCCCGUCACACCAUGGGAGUGGGUUGCAAAAGAAGUAGGUAGCUUAACCUUCGGGAGGGCGCUUACCACUUUGUGAUUCAUGACUGGGGUGAAGUCGUAACAAGGUAACCGUAGGGGAACCUGCGGUUGGAUCACCUCCUUACCUUAAAGAAGC